This 388-nucleotide ribosomal RNA is filed under the name uncultured eukaryote. RNAcentral describes it as "SSU rRNA". It matches the Rfam family "Eukaryotic small subunit ribosomal RNA", at positions 587 to 972 of the family's 1831-position model. The record is from RNAcentral.
AGCUCCAAUAGCGUAUAUUAAAUUUGUUGCAGUUAAAAAGCUCGUAGUUGGAUCUCAGGUGUGAGUCGCCGGUACAGUCUUUGUAUUGUGACCGUGUGUUCUCCGCCUUCAUGAGCUGUUGAUGCUCUAUAGUGGUCUUCACUGACUGUUGUAGAGUGCACGGCACGUUUACUUUGAAAAAAUUAGAGUGCUCAAAGCAGGCCUUUGUGCUUGAAUAGUCUUGCAUGGAAUAAUGGAAGAGGACUUCGGUUUUAUUUUGUUGGUUUUCGGUACCGAAGUAAUGAUUAAAAGAGACAGACGAGGGCAUUUGUAUGGUGGUGUUAGAGGUGAAAUUCUUGGAUCGCCGCCAGACAAACUACUGCGAAAGCAUUUGCCAAGGAUGCCUUCA